CCGGUCCUUUACGAUUUUUAGAUUUAUAUUUGGAGACGAAAUUACCUUUUACUCCUCCUCGCAAUAAAAGAAGUCAAUCAAUUCCCCCAUUUUUUUCGUGGGUGCUCUCUCUUCUUCCGGAGCCACUUUUCUCUCUCCGUCGCCGGCCACAAUCCGCCUCUUCCCUCUCCCAAGCCGAGAUCUUUCGUGGAGGAAAGGAAAAACCCCGUCGCCGACCGGCCACGACCAAUGCGGAAAGGAGAUCCACCGUGUCGCCGUCGACCGCGCCCCGAUCCGACAGAGAGCUAUCUUCCCCGAGCACGACCCGCCUCCCGAGCGGAGAAGAGAUCU
This 330-nucleotide long non-coding RNA is filed under the name Phoenix dactylifera (date palm). RNAcentral describes it as "long non-coding RNA (PDAC_LNC017520)". Lineage: Eukaryota; Viridiplantae; Streptophyta; Magnoliopsida; Arecales; Arecaceae. The record is from RNAcentral.